AACGCGAAGAACCUUACCUGGGCUCGAACGGCCGGUUAACGUAAGUGGAAACAUUUAUACCCCGCAAGGGGGUCCGGUCGAGGUGCUGCAUGGCUGUCGUCAGCUCGUGUCGUGAGAUGUUGGGUUAAGUCCCGCAACGAGCGCAACCCUUGUCCUGUGUUGCCAUACCGAAAGGUGGAACUCGCAGGAGACCGCCAGCGAUAAGCUGGAGGAAGGUGGGGAUGACGUCAAGUCCUCAUGGCCUUUAUGUCCAGGGCUACACACGUGCUACAAUGGACGGUACAAAGCGUCGCUAACCUGCAAAGGGGAGCCAAUCGCAGAAAACCGUUCUCAGUUCGGAUUGCAGGCUGCAACUCGCCUGCAUGAAGCUGGAAUCGCUAGUAAUGGCAGAUCAGCACGCUGCCGUGAAUACGUUCCCGGGCCUUGUACACACCGCGCAUA
This 441-nucleotide ribosomal RNA is filed under the name uncultured bacterium. RNAcentral's name for it is "bacterial SSU rRNA". It matches the Rfam family "Bacterial small subunit ribosomal RNA", at positions 958 to 1398 of the family's 1533-position model. The record is from RNAcentral.